UCACAAUCCGGUGCAUUUUAC
RNAcentral lists this non-coding RNA (21 nucleotides) under Arabidopsis thaliana (thale cress). The record is from RNAcentral. Lineage: Eukaryota; Viridiplantae; Streptophyta; Magnoliopsida; Brassicales; Brassicaceae.